Molecule: ribosomal RNA, 115 nt
Organism: Danio rerio (zebrafish)
Lineage: Eukaryota; Metazoa; Chordata; Actinopteri; Cypriniformes; Danionidae
Source: Ensembl
GCAGGCAGCUAGCUCUCUGCAACUCUUACAUAGUCACCCACUGAAGCUAAGUAGGGCUGUGCCCAGUCAGUACCUGGAUGGGGGACCACAUGGGAAAGCUAGGCUGCUGCUGGAA